AUUGAACGCUGGCGGCAUGCCUUACACAUGCAAGUCGAACGGCAGCACGGGAGCAAUCCUGGUGGCGAGUGGCGAACGGGUGAGUAAAGUAUCGGAACGUGCCCAGUCGUGGGGGAUAACGUAGCGAAAGUUACGCUAAUACCGCAUACGAUCUAUGGAUGAAAGCGGGGGAUCGCAAGACCUCGCGCGAUAGGAGCGGCCGAUAUCAGAUUAGGUAGUUGGUGGGGUAAAGGCUCACCAAGCCGACGAUCUGUAGCUGGUCUGAGAGGACGACCAGCCACACUGGGACUGAGACACGGCCCAGACUCCUACGGGAGGCAGCAGUGGGGAAUUUUGGACAAUGGGCGCAAGCCUGAUCCAGCCAUUCCGCGUGCAGGAUGAAGGCCCUCGGGUUGUAAACUGCUUUUGUACGGAACGAAAAGGUCUCUCUUAAUACGGGGGGCUCAUGGCGGUACCGUAAGAAUAAGCACCGGCUAACUACGUGCCAGCCGCCGCAGUAA
This 500-nucleotide ribosomal RNA is filed under the name uncultured bacterium. RNAcentral's name for it is "partial 16S ribosomal RNA". It matches the Rfam family "Bacterial small subunit ribosomal RNA", at positions 30 to 523 of the family's 1533-position model. The record is from RNAcentral.